Molecule: ribosomal RNA, 253 nt
Filed under: uncultured bacterium
Lineage: Bacteria
Description: partial 16S ribosomal RNA
Rfam family: Bacterial small subunit ribosomal RNA
Source: RNAcentral
UACGAAGGGUGCAAGCGUUGUUCGGAUUUAUUGGGCGUAAAGCGCGCGUAGGCGGACCUGCAAGUCAGAUGUGAAAUCUCGGGGCUCAACCUCGAAACUGCGUCUGAAACUACAGGUCUAGAAUCUUGGAGGGGGUAGGGGAAUUUCUCAUGUAGGGGUAAAAUCCGUAGAUAUGAGAAGGAACACCAGAGGCGAAGGCGCCUACCUGGACAAGUAUUGACGCUGAGGCGCGAAAGCGUGGGGAUCAAACAGG